AAAGAUUUAGGAUAGUAGACCAAAGGCCUUCAAAGCCUUAAGCAGAAGUUUUAAACUUCUAAUCUUUG
This 68-nucleotide transfer RNA is filed under the name Oedipina poelzi (quarry worm salamander). RNAcentral describes it as "tRNA-Trp". It matches the Rfam family "tRNA". Rfam says of the family: Transfer RNA (tRNA) molecules are approximately 80 nucleotides in length. Their secondary structure includes four short double-helical elements and three loops (D, anti-codon, and T loops). The record is from RNAcentral. Lineage: Eukaryota; Metazoa; Chordata; Amphibia; Caudata; Plethodontidae.